Long non-coding RNA from Zea mays, 1195 nucleotides. RefSeq lists it as uncharacterized. Lineage: Eukaryota; Viridiplantae; Streptophyta; Magnoliopsida; Poales; Poaceae. The record is from RefSeq and is a predicted model, not a curated record. The transcript is spliced from 2 exons.
GUUGGGGGGUUGAACAAUUGUUAACACUCAAGAACGUUCCGCCAUAGAAACCGGCCAGGCUAUCUGUCAGAUUCAAUCGAGUCAGGUAUCACCAUGGUAAAUCUAUUGAGGUUGGGUUCCUAUGUUUGGCCAGGCCAUCAGCACCAGAGACUGACCGGGCUAACUUCCUAUGUCAUAUUAGCUACACUGAUCAACUUCCUCUUUGUAUUUUUAGCUCCUAAAUAACUAAAUUGGCGUUCCUAUGGUUGGAUCUGCGCUACGGCGACGGAAGGGGUCCCCUGGAGUUCGGAGAUGCCCUUCUGAAGCUUGCGGCGUCAAGAUCUGAGUUCGGUCGUCGCGCUGGAGGAGAUUUCACUGAGCCGGCGUGCCCCUCCUAUUGCCGCUGGAGUCGCUAAGGUGGCGCCUUUGAGCAUUGUCGUCCGGAUGUUCCUUCCUGGCAAGCGCUAAAGCUUCUGAAGUUAUUCUCGGAACCAGCGACUGGCGCCAGAGGUUUGGCACUGUUCGACAGAAAAGCAAGUGACGAUCUCGAGCUGCUCUAUCCGCCCCGCAUAGCCCGGAAAGCGCAAUAGAUGCAGGCCGCACCCAAGGACACCACGGUCCACGACAGUACCUCAUCGCCGCCGCACAGCCAAGAAUGAGGUACAUGUUGUCCGGCCCCGACAUGCUUAACAACGCCAGGAUGCAGGAUGCCUUGAUGAAGAAGCGGCGGGGCCGGCCACUGGGCAACGCCAAAGAAGCACAAGCCUUUCCCCUUCCAAGGUACCCGGUGAUUGCAUCUAAAAAAAUUUCCGUCUUACCUCAUCGCCGCCGCACAGCCAAGAAUGAGGUACAUGUUGUCCGGCCCCGACAUGCUUAACAACGCCAGGAUGCAGGAUGCCUUGAUGAAGAAGCGGCGGGGCCGGCCACUGGGCAACGCCAAAGAAGCACAAGCCUUUCCCCUUCCAAGAAGUCUUGCUAGAGAAGGGAAGCAGUAACUCGAAGCCUCACCAUAAGCCGUCCACACAUGCUGUGUACCUUCGAUAUUUAGUGGCUUUGUAUGGUAACUUCAUUUCCUGGUUUGUGUAAAUAAAAUUGUUAUGAAAAGCCAUCGGUUACUGGAAGACUUGGGAAUGUACAUUGCCUCGCGCAAUCUCAUCUCAUCAAAUGAAUGGCCCUUACUGGCACCAAGACCUUUAGGGUGCAGUGCUUUGCUUUA